Molecule: ribosomal RNA, 253 nt
Filed under: uncultured bacterium
Lineage: Bacteria
Description: partial 16S ribosomal RNA
Rfam family: Bacterial small subunit ribosomal RNA
Source: RNAcentral
UACGAAGGGGGCUAGCGUUGCUCGGAAUUACUGGGCGUAAAGCGCACGUAGGCGGCUUUCUAAGUCGGGGGUGAAAUCCUGGAGCUCAACUCCAGAACUGCCUUCGAUACUGGAGAGCUCGAGUCCGGGAGAGGUGAGUGGAACUGCGAGUGUAGAGGUGAAAUUCGUAGAUAUUCGCAAGAACACCAAUGGCGAAAGCAGCUCUCUGGGACGGUCCUGACGCUGAGACGCGAAAGCGUGGGGAGCAAACAGG